RNAcentral lists this transfer RNA (73 nucleotides) under Dipodomys ordii (Ord's kangaroo rat). It matches the Rfam family "tRNA". From Rfam's summary of the family: Transfer RNA (tRNA) molecules are approximately 80 nucleotides in length. Their secondary structure includes four short double-helical elements and three loops (D, anti-codon, and T loops). The record is from Rfam by way of RNAcentral. Lineage: Eukaryota; Metazoa; Chordata; Mammalia; Rodentia; Heteromyidae.
GGAGGUGUGGCUCAGGUGGGAGAGUAUUUGCCUUGCAAAUGCAAGAGCCUGAGUUCAAAUCCCAGUACUGCCC